ACGGAAGGCAGCAGUGAGGAAUAUUGGUCAAUGGGCGCAAGCCUGAACCAGCCAAGUCGCGUGAAGGAAGACUGCCCUAUGGGUUGUAAACUUCUUUUGCAUGGGAAUAAAGUGAGCCACGUGUGGCUUUUUGUAUGUACCAUGCGAAUAAGCAUCGGCUAACUCCGUGCCAGCAGCCGCGGUAAUACGGAGGAUGCGAGCGUUAUCCGGAUUUAUUGGGUUUAAAGGGUGCGUAGGCGGGAUGGUAAGUUAGUGGUGAAAGUUUGCGGCUCAACCGUAAAAUUGCCGUUGAAACUGGCGUUCUUGAGUGUAAACGAGGUAGGCGGAAUGUGCCAUGUAGCGGUGAAAUGCUUAGAUAUGUCACAGAACCCCGACUGCGAAGGCAGCUUACCAGCAUACAACUGACGCUGAGGCACGAAAGCGUGGGUAUCAAACAGGAUUAGAUACCCUGGUA
This 454-nucleotide ribosomal RNA is filed under the name uncultured Porphyromonadaceae bacterium. RNAcentral describes it as "bacterial SSU rRNA". It matches the Rfam family "Bacterial small subunit ribosomal RNA", at positions 341 to 792 of the family's 1533-position model. Lineage: Bacteria; Pseudomonadati; Bacteroidota; Bacteroidia; Bacteroidales; Porphyromonadaceae. The record is from RNAcentral.